This 398-nucleotide ribosomal RNA is filed under the name uncultured bacterium. Its description in RNAcentral is "bacterial SSU rRNA". It matches the Rfam family "Bacterial small subunit ribosomal RNA", at positions 28 to 407 of the family's 1533-position model. The record is from RNAcentral.
GACGAACGCUGGCGGCGUGCCUAACACAUGCAAGUCGAACGGGACUUAGUGGAAAGCGGCUUCGGCCAAUGGAAGCUAAGUUUAGUGGCGAACGGGGUGAGUAACGCGUGAGAAACCUGCCUUUCAGUGGGGGACAACAGUUGGAAACGACUGCUAAUACCGCAUAAUGUAUCCGGAGGGCAUCCUCUGGAUACCAAAGCUUAAUGUGCUGAAAGAUGGUCUCGCGUCUGAUUAGCUAGAUGGCGGGGUAACGGCCCACCAUGGCGACGAUCAGUAGCCGGUCUGAGAGGAUGAACGGCCACAUUGGGACUGAGAUACGGCCCAGACUCCUACGGGAGGCAGCAGUGGGGAAUAUUGGGCAAUGGGGGAAACCCUGACCCAGCAACGCCGCGUGAAGG